CUUGCUAUGGUAUAACUUAGUGGCAGACGGGUGAGUAAUGUAUAGGAAUCUACCUAGUAGUACGGAAUAAUUGUUGGAAACGACAACUAAUACCGUAUACGCCCUACGGGGAAAAAUUUAUUGCUAUUAGAUGAGCCUAUAUUAGAUUAGCUAGUUGGUGGGGUAAUAGCCUACCAAGGUAAUGAUCUAUAGCUGAUCUGAGAGGAUGAUCAGCCACACUGGAACUGAGAUACGGUCCAGACUCCUACGGGAGGCAGCAGUGGGGAAUAUUGGACAAUGGGCGAAAGCCUGAUCCAGCCAUGCCGCAUGAGUGAAGAAGGCCUUUGGGUUGUAAAGCUCUUUUAGUGAGGAAGAUAAUGACGGUACUCACAGAAGAAGUCCUGGCUAACUCCGUGCCAGCAGCCGCGGUAAUACGGAGAGGGCUAGCGUUAUUCGGAAUUAUUGGGCGUAAAGGGCGCGUAGGCUGGUUAAUAAGUUAAAAGUGAAAUCCCGAGGCUUAACCUUGGAAUUGCUUUUAAAACUAUUAAUCUAGAGAUUGAAAGAGGAUAGAGGAAUUCCUGAUGUAGAGGUAAAAUUCGUAAAUAUUAGGAGGAACACCAGUGGCGAAGGCGUCUAUCUGGUUCAAAUCUGACGCUGAAGCGCGAAGGCGUGGGGAGCAAACAGGAUUAGAUACCCUGGUAGUCCACGCUGUAAACGAUGAAUGUUAAAUAUGGGGAGUUUACUUUCUGUAUUACAGCUAACGCGUUAAACAUUCCGCCUGGGGACUACGGUCGCAAGAUUAAAACUCAAAGGAAUUGACGGGG
Molecule: ribosomal RNA, 803 nt
Filed under: Wolbachia pipientis
Lineage: Bacteria; Pseudomonadati; Pseudomonadota; Alphaproteobacteria; Rickettsiales; Anaplasmataceae
Description: bacterial SSU rRNA
Rfam family: Bacterial small subunit ribosomal RNA
Source: RNAcentral